This is a long non-coding RNA of Puntigrus tetrazona (Sumatra barb), 445 nucleotides long. RefSeq lists it as uncharacterized. The record is from RefSeq and is a predicted model, not a curated record. Lineage: Eukaryota; Metazoa; Chordata; Actinopteri; Cypriniformes; Cyprinidae. The transcript is spliced from 3 exons.
CGAGCUCGCAAAUUAUAGAACUUUGUUUUUAUUUCUAUUUUAUAUUAGUGUUUUAUUUGUAAUGUAUUUAACCUAUAUAUAAUAAAACUAUAUCUUAUUAUAACCAAUACGCUCGCCUGCCAAAGACUCUGAUCAAGACCUGAGCAGAACAGACCACAGAGAAGUCUUCUGAGACCUGUCUUGUAAUUUCGCAUCCCUCUUCAGGAAUAACGGCAGUCACGUCUAGCGGGGAAACCCAGACCGGACCGAACAUGCACCUUAGCAUCUGCGAUUAAAUGGGCAGGGCUCAAACCACUUUUGGUGGAGCGUGAACACACUUUACUGUUAAUCACAACAAAGGGCUAAGCAAGCACACAACACUGACAAAGUGUGCGAUAGAGUAUGAGACCAAACGCAACUUUGGGACAUCUCAAUACAAUGAACAAAAUAAGCAAACAAAGGGAUA